AGAGUUUGAUCCUGGCUCAGAGCGAACGCUGGCGGCAGGCUUAACACAUGCAAGUCGAGCGGGCAUAGCAAUAUGUCAGCGGCAGACGGGUGAGUAACGCGUGGGAACAUACCUUUUGGUUCGGAACAACACAGGGAAACUUGUGCUAAUACCGGAUAAGCCCUUACGGGGAAAGAUUUAUCGCCGAAAGAUUGGCCCGCGUCUGAUUAGCUAGUUGGUGAGGUAACGGCUCACCAAGGCGACGAUCAGUAGCUGGUCUGAGAGGAUGAUCAGCCACAUUGGGACUGAGACACGGCCCAAACUCCUACGGGAGGCAGCAGUGGGGAAUAUUGGACAAUGGGCGCAAGCCUGAUCCAGCCAUGCCGCGUGAGUGAUGAAGGCCCUAGGGUUGUAAAGCUCUUUUGUGCGGGAAGAUAAUGACGGUACCGCAAGAAUAAGCCCCGGCUAACUUCGUGCCAGCAGCCGCGGUAAUACGAAGGGGGCUAGCGUUGCUCGGAAUCACUGGGCGUAAAGGGUGCGUAGGCGGGUCUUUAAGUCAGGGGUGAAAUCCUGGAGCUCAACACCAGAACUGCCUUUGAUACUGAGGAUCUUGAGUUCGGGAGAGGUGAGUGGAACUGCGAGUGUAGAGGUGAAAUUCGUAGAUAUUCGCAAGAACACCAGUGGCGAAGGCGGCUCACUGGCCCGAUACUGACGCUGAGGCACGAAAGCGUGGGGAGCAAACAGGAUUAGAUACCCGGGUAGUCCACGCCGUAAACGAUGAAUGCCAGCCGUUAGUGGGUUUACUCACUAGUGGCGCAGCUAACGCUUUAAGCAUUCCGCCUGGGGAGUACGGUCGCAAGAUUAAAACUCAAAGGAAUUGACGGGGGCCCGCACAAGCGGUGGAGCAUGUGGUUUAAUUCGACGCAACGCGCAGAACCUUACCAGCCCUUGACAUCCCGGUCGCGGAUUCCAGAGACGGAGUCCUUCAGUUCGGCUGGACCGGAGACAGGUGCUGCAUGGCUGUCGUCAGCUCGUGUCGUGAGAUGUUGGGUUAAGUCCCGCAACGAGCGCAACCCCCGUCCUUAGUUGCUACCAUUUAGUUGAGCACUCUAAGGAGACUGCCGGUGAUAAGCCGCGAGGAAGGUGGGGAUGACGUCAAGUCCUCAUGGCCCUUACGGGCUGGGCUACACACGUGCUACAAUGGCGGUGACAAUGGGACGCUAAGGGGCAACCCUUCGCAAAUCUCAAAAAGCCGUCUCAGUUCGGAUUGGGCUCUGCAACUCGAGCCCAUGAAGUUGGAAUCGCUAGUAAUCGUGGAUCAGCAUGCCACGGUGAAUACGUUCCCGGGCCUUGUACACACCGCCCGUCACACCAUGGGAGUUGGUUUUACCUGAAGACGGUGCGCUAACCCGCAAGGGAGGCAGCCGGCCACGGUAGGGUCAGCGACUGGGGUGAAGUCGUAACAAGGUA
Molecule: ribosomal RNA, 1449 nt
Filed under: metagenome
Description: bacterial SSU rRNA
Rfam family: Bacterial small subunit ribosomal RNA
Source: RNAcentral